UACGUAGGGAGCAAGCGUUGUCCGGAAUCAUUGGGCGUAAAGCGCGCGUAGGCGGCCCUGUAAGUCCGUUGUGAAAGUCAAAGGCUCAACCUUUGAAAGCCGAUGGAUACUGCAGGGCUAGAGUCCGGAAGAGGCGAGUGGAAUUCCUGGUGUAGCGGUGGAAUGCGCAGAUAUCAGGAGGAACACCAAUAGCGAAGGCAGCUCGCUGGGACGGUACUGACACUAAGGCGCGAAAGCGUGGGGAGCGAACAGG
This 253-nucleotide ribosomal RNA is filed under the name uncultured bacterium. RNAcentral's name for it is "partial 16S ribosomal RNA". It matches the Rfam family "Bacterial small subunit ribosomal RNA", at positions 524 to 776 of the family's 1533-position model. The record is from RNAcentral.